GGGAUGGGGGUGGGGGAAGCUGCCUAGGACAUAUGAGCUACAGGAAAAAACAGGGACCUUCUUUUGCCCCAGGGAGCCCUGGGAUGACUGAUCUCUUGACCCCUGACAUAGGUCAUAAUGAGAAAUAGACGUGGUCACCAAGGGGUGGGGAUCUGGAGCUAUGGAGCUAGUAUUUUGAGAAGCCUGUGGAAAGCAGGGAGACUGGAUGGAGAGGAGAGAGGGGAGCACAAUAUGGCCAGUGGAGAACAGCCCUCAUUUAAACCAGUGUGAAGAUUCUCUACUGAGACAGCCAGCUUUGGAAAUCCCUCCAUUGCUGCUCUCAUCACCUCCUCACCCCCAAGAAGUUUUUCCAACCGUUCCACCACUGCUCUUCUUCUGGGAAACCCUCACCUUGCAGCAUUUGCAGUUCUUCACACUGGAAUAACAGACUUGAACGACGCACGAGAAGAUGGGACUCUGUGGUUAACAUUCAUGGGCUGCCUGGAAAAGUGUGCUAAUGUGGACAAAAUAAAAUGGAGUAUCUACUUGGUGAAGUUCAGAUGCUGCAGAGGCUAUGACUUAUGCAAUGAAUCUCUAUA
Long non-coding RNA from Canis lupus familiaris (dog), 578 nucleotides. RefSeq lists it as uncharacterized. The record is from RefSeq and is a predicted model, not a curated record. Lineage: Eukaryota; Metazoa; Chordata; Mammalia; Carnivora; Canidae. The transcript has 3 exons.